UGGAAACUUCUUUGUUCAUUCCAAACCUGC
RNAcentral lists this non-coding RNA (30 nucleotides) under Mus musculus (house mouse). Lineage: Eukaryota; Metazoa; Chordata; Mammalia; Rodentia; Muridae. The record is from RNAcentral.